RNAcentral lists this transfer RNA (62 nucleotides) under Microcosmus sulcatus. RNAcentral's name for it is "transfer RNA-Arg". The record is from RNAcentral. Lineage: Eukaryota; Metazoa; Chordata; Ascidiacea; Stolidobranchia; Pyuridae.
AUAACUUUAGUUUAUAUAAAAUAUUGGUUUUCGGGACCAAUGAACAUUUAGGUGAGGUUAAA